GACGAACGCUGGCGGCGUGCUUAACACAUGCAAGUCGAACGGUGAAGUAGAGCUUGCUCUAUGGAUCAGUGGCGAACGGGUGAGUAACACGUGGGCAACCUGCCCCAGACUCUGGGAUAACUCCUCGAAAGAGGGGCUAAUACCGGAUAUUUGCAUUGCAAGACAUCUUGUGAUGCAGAAAGAAUUUCGGUCUGGGAUGGGCCCGCGGCCUAUCAGCUUGUUGGUGAGGUAACGGCUCACCAAGGCGACGACGGGUAGCCGGCCUGAGAGGGCGACCGGCCACACUGGGACUGAGACACGGCCCAGACUCCUACGGGAGGCAGCAGUGGGGAAUAUUGGGCAAUGGGCGCAGCCUGACCCAGCAACGCCGCGUGAGGGAUGAAGGUCCUCGGAUUGUAAACCUCUUUCAGCAGGGACGAAGCGAAAGUGACGGUACCUGCAGAAGAAGCACCGGCUAACUACGUGCCAGCCGCCGCCGUAA
RNAcentral lists this ribosomal RNA (481 nucleotides) under uncultured bacterium. RNAcentral describes it as "partial 16S ribosomal RNA". It matches the Rfam family "Bacterial small subunit ribosomal RNA", at positions 28 to 523 of the family's 1533-position model. The record is from RNAcentral.